This is a non-coding RNA of Acanthosepion pharaonis, 105 nucleotides long. Lineage: Eukaryota; Metazoa; Mollusca; Cephalopoda; Sepiida; Sepiidae. The record is from the annotation of a GenBank genome assembly.
CAUCAAGAUGAAACACCGGUUCAUCUAAGAACACUGAAGUUAAGCAAUCCUGAGCCUGGUCAGUACCUAGAUGGGUGACCACUUGAAAAUACCAGAUGUUGUAAG